Long non-coding RNA from Cyprinus carpio (common carp), 344 nucleotides. RefSeq lists it as uncharacterized. NCBI's taxonomy places the organism in Eukaryota, Metazoa, Chordata, Actinopteri, Cypriniformes, Cyprinidae. The record is from RefSeq and is a predicted model, not a curated record.
AGCUAAAGCAACGUCUUCAUCCUUAGAUUAAUAUUCAUGAGCAGAUUCGUGAUUUGGUGCAGUAAUUCGACAGAAGACGGACUAUGAUGAUAUCAAUGUGUCCACACAUGCAUCUAUCUUCCAAAGGUCAUCAAAAGUUGCAUAACAGGCAGACAACUUAUACUUGAAUGUAUGAAUGGUCCAUUUUAUGGGAAGCUGAUAACACAAAUCAAUCUCAAAUCCAGCUAUGGUGAACAAUAGAAAGAAGCCAGACUGUAGCAAAAUCAAAAUCGACAUAGAUCAAAAAUCCUAUACUGUGUUUGGAUGUCAAUUCUAGCUCACUGAAUACUGCACAGUCCUUCAAA